GAUGAACGCUGGCGGCGUGCCUAAUACAUGCGAGUCGAGCGAACAGACGAGGAGCUUGCUCCUCUGACGUUAGCGGCGGACGGGUGAGUAACACGUGGAUAACCUACCUAUAAGACUGGGAUAACUUCGGGAAACCGGAGCUAAUACCGGAUAAUAUAUUGAACCGCAUGGUUCAAUAGUGAAAGACGGUUUUGCUGUCACUUAUAGAUGGAUCCGCGCCGCAUUAGCUAGUUGGUAAGGCAACGGCUUACCAAGGCGACGAUGCGUAGCCGACCUGAGAGGGUGAUCGGCCACACUGGAACUGAGACACGGUCCAGACUCCUACGGGAGGCAGCAGUAGGGAAUCUUCCGCAAUGGGCGAAAGCCUGACGGAGCAACGCCGCGUGAGUGAUGAAGGUCUUCGGAUCGUAAAACUCUGUUAUUAGGGAAGAACAAAUGUGUAAGUAACUAUGCACGUCUUGACGGUACCUAAUCAGAAAGCCACGGCUAACUACGUG
This 497-nucleotide ribosomal RNA is filed under the name uncultured bacterium. Its description in RNAcentral is "partial 16S ribosomal RNA". It matches the Rfam family "Bacterial small subunit ribosomal RNA", at positions 28 to 507 of the family's 1533-position model. The record is from RNAcentral.